CCUACGGGUGGCAGCAGUGAGGAAUAUUGGUCAAUGGACGAGAGUCUGAACCAGCCAAGUAGCGUGAAGGAUGACUGCCCUAUGGGUUGUAAACUUCUUUUAUAUGGGAAUAAAAUAGGGUACGCAUACCUUUUUGUAUGUACCUUCUGAAUAAGGAUCGGCUAACUCCGUGCCCGCAGCCGCGGUAAUACGGAGGAUCCGAGCGUUAUCCGGAUUUAUUGGGUUUAAAGGGAGCGUAGAUGGGUUGUUAAGUCAGUUGUGAAAGUUUGCGGCUCAACCGUAAAAUUGCAGUUGAAACUGGCAGCCUUGAGUACAGUUGAGGUGGGCGGAAUUCGUGGUGUAGCGGUGAAAUGCUUAGAUAUCACGAAGAACUCCGAUUGCGAAGGCAGCUCACUAAACUGCCACUGACACUGAUGCUCGAAAGUGUGGGUAUCAAACAGGAUUAGAUACCCGUGUAGUC
Molecule: ribosomal RNA, 460 nt
Filed under: uncultured bacterium
Lineage: Bacteria
Description: partial 16S ribosomal RNA
Rfam family: Bacterial small subunit ribosomal RNA
Source: RNAcentral